Non-coding RNA from Microcebus murinus (gray mouse lemur), 997 nucleotides. NCBI's taxonomy places the organism in Eukaryota, Metazoa, Chordata, Mammalia, Primates, Cheirogaleidae. The record is from RefSeq and is a predicted model, not a curated record.
UUUUUGAUGUUAGCAUCUAGAAAAUUUAAAAGCACAUAUGUGGGUCUCAUUAUGUUUCCACUGGAUAUUGCUUUGUUUGGAUAUACCUUUCCCCUACUCCAAGUGAUCUAACCUCUUCCAAGUGAUCUAACCCAUGAACAAAUGCGUGAAUUAAGAAAGGGGGCAACUAAAAAAAAAAGGGGGGGGGCAAGUCCCUAUUCUGAGAUAUUCUAAAAGGCGGAGCCCACUCUCUCUGAAUUGAUAGUUUUUCUAUUUUAUUUUGUCAGACUGUUGCUUUUUUACUUAGAUCAUAGGAUUUCGGACCAAGAAACACUAGUGAAAAACUUUGUCCAUAAGGGAACAAUCUGUGUGUGAACGUGUGUGCGCACGCGCACGUAUACACGCACGCACACGCACACACGCAGGCAAGCGUGCGGGCGCAUGCGCACGCAGUGGAACACAAACCCCGCUUAAAUCUGAGCAUAACAGAAUUGCAGGAAACUUUCUCUUUUGAAGUAAACUGGCAACAUGACAAACAGAAAGCAAACAGCAUUCUCAGAACAAUCCUUGAUCUAUAUUACUACUGUAACAUCAGCCACAAUAGACAGCCCUCCAAUGAGCACACCACUGGCACCAAAGUAGAGCGAGGGACUGCUGCCUGCACUGCCCUGAUUUAGGUGUGGAUGAUGCCAGUUACUGCAGCAGCGGGGAACACAGAGUGGAAGGUCUCCACAUGUAAAAGCAGGAGGAUGCUGUUCAGCACUCAAUUCUUUUGAAGCUAAAGGAAAGCCAGAAUGUCACAGCCACACAUGGAAACUUGUAGCUUGGAGCCACAUGUGGAAACUUGUAGCCCCUAUUCUGCUUUUAUCCAAGAAGGAGGUGAGUUAAAUCUCCAAAUGUGCAGACAUUUCAUUCUAGGUCUUCUGCAUACUUCACUGGUGAAAAAGUAAAGAUAAAAAUGGAAUGUCAAGCCACUCAUGGAAGUAAAAUGGAACCCUCUUGUGUACAUGACCACAGG